RNAcentral lists this ribosomal RNA (490 nucleotides) under uncultured bacterium. Its description in RNAcentral is "partial 16S ribosomal RNA". It matches the Rfam family "Bacterial small subunit ribosomal RNA", at positions 30 to 507 of the family's 1533-position model. The record is from RNAcentral.
AUUGAACGCUGGCGGCAGGCCUAACACAUGCAAGUCGAACGGUAACAGGAAGACGCUUGCUUCUUUGCUGACGAGUGGCGGGCGGGUGAGUAAUGUCUGGGAAACUGCCUGAUGUAGGGGGAUAACUACUGGAAACGGUAGCUAAUACCGCAUAAUGUCGCAAGACCAAAGAGGGGGACCUUCGGGCCUCUUGCCAUCGGAUGUGCGCAGAUGGGAUUAGCUAGUAGGUGGGGUAACGGCUCACCUAGGCGACGAUCCGUAGCUGGUCUGAGAGGAUGACCAGCCACACUGGAACUGAGACACGGUCCAGACUCCUACGGGAGGCAGCAGUGGGGAAUAUUGCACAAUGGGCGCAAGCCUGAUGCAGCUAUGCCGCGUGUAUGAAGAAGGCCUUCGGGUUGUAAAGUGCUUUCAGCGGGGAGGAAGGGAGUAAAGUUAAUACCUGGGCUCAUUGACGGUACCCGAAGAAGAAGCACCGGCUAACUCCGUG